UGGCGGCAGGCCUAACACAUGCAAGUCGAGCGGUAACAGAAAGNAGCUUGCUNCUUUGCUGACGAGCGGCGGACGGGUGAGUAAUGCUUGGGAACAUGCCUUGAGGUGGGGGACAACAGUUGGAAACGACUGCUAAUACCGCAUAAUGUCUACGGACCAAAGGGGGCUUCGGCUCUCGCCUUUAGAUUGGCCCAAGUGGGAUUAGCUAGUUGGUGAGGUAAUGGCUCACCAAGGCAACGAUCCCUAGCUGGUUUGAGAGGAUGAUCAGCCACACUGGGACUGAGACACGGCCCAGACUCCUACGGGAGGCAGCAGUGGGGAAUAUUGCACAAUGGGCGCAAGCCUGAUGCAGCCAUGCCGCGUGUGUGAAGAAGGCCUUCGGGUUGUAAAGCACUUUCAGUCAGGAGGAAAGGUUAGUAGUUAAUACCUGCUAGCUGUGACGUUACUGACAGAAGAAGCACCGGCUAACUCCGUGCCAGCAGCCGCGGUAAUACGGAGGGUGCGAGCGUUAAUCGGAAUUACUGGGCGUAAAGCGUACGCANGCGGUUUGUUAAGCGAGAUGUGAAACCCCGGGCUCAACCUGGGAACUGCAUUUCGAACUGGCAAACUAGAAUGUGAUANAAGGUGGUAGAAUUUCANGUGUAGCGGUGAAAUCG
RNAcentral lists this ribosomal RNA (656 nucleotides) under Pseudoalteromonas sp. W13a. RNAcentral's name for it is "bacterial SSU rRNA". It matches the Rfam family "Bacterial small subunit ribosomal RNA", at positions 37 to 688 of the family's 1533-position model. The record is from RNAcentral. Lineage: Bacteria; Pseudomonadati; Pseudomonadota; Gammaproteobacteria; Alteromonadales; Pseudoalteromonadaceae.